Molecule: ribosomal RNA, 687 nt
Filed under: Triticum aestivum (bread wheat)
Lineage: Eukaryota; Viridiplantae; Streptophyta; Magnoliopsida; Poales; Poaceae
Description: partial small subunit ribosomal RNA
Source: RNAcentral
AUGCCGAUGUCCACGGAAGCCGUAAAACUCGAUUCAAUGUCCUCAAAGUCCCCGUUGAUCUCUCUAUUGCAUCCAUUCCACUUCCUAAGUCCUAACAUCUACGCACUCUAUCCCACUCCUCGCCGGCCGGCCAUGGCGACGAUGCCGAUGCGCACUCCCCGAUCUAUUCUCCUGCUCCUCCUCGCCACCUCCUUCUUCCUCCUCCUCCCCAACCCCUCCUCCGCCUCUGUCUCCCACCCGGACCUCAUCCUGCCCAAGGCGGUCAACGACAACGAGGCCCACGUGGUCGUCCUCACCGCCGCCAACUUCUCCUCCUUCCUCGCCGUCCGCCGCCACGUCGUGGUCGACUUCUACGCGCCCUGGUGCUACUGGUCCCGCAAGCUCGCCCCGGAGUACGCGGCGGCGGCGGCGCACCUGGCCGACAAGGGGCUCGACGUGGCACUCGCCAAGGUCGACGCCACCCAGGACCGUGACCUCGCGCGCGCGCACGGCGUCGACGGAUACCCCACCGUCCUCUUCUUCGUGGACGGCGUGCCCAGGCACUUCCCCUACUACGGCGAGAGGACCAAGGACGCCAUGGUCACUUGGAUAUCCCAGAGGCUGGGCCCUGAGGUGCAGAACGUCACCACCAUCGACGAGGCCAAGAAGAUCAUCAACGGCCACGGAGAUGAUGGAGAGGAUCAGUAG